Molecule: non-coding RNA, 2449 nt
Organism: Chrysemys picta bellii (western painted turtle)
Lineage: Eukaryota; Metazoa; Chordata; Testudines; Emydidae
Source: RefSeq, a predicted model, not a curated record
ACCCACUAAAUUGACUGCCGGUGGAUCGAUCUCAGAGCAUCGAUCCUGGCUGUAGUGUAGACCUGCCCCUAGCUUUCUUCCAUACUAGUAAUAUACUCAUAUUUCACAUUUUUAUUUCUUUGGUAAGUAUUUAAUUUCAAGGAACAUUUGACUUUUUAAAGUAUGUAAAAAAAAAUGAACGGGAAACUUAUCACUUGAUUGUUCUUACCUCAGGUAUGCAUGAGCUCCCCAAUAAUAAAGCAGCUGUCACAGUGACGCCUUAUAUCGUAUUACAGAAUAGUGGGCUGAUUUCCCAAAGUAUUGGAAUCAAUACUCAGCACCUUUGAAAAUCAAGCCAUAAAGAAUUACAUAUUGCACCACUGCAAAGUUCUUUGCCUUACACUUUUAACCAUAUACAAACACGUUUAUAGUUUAUCUUUGCUAGUAUAUUUGAGUAUAAAGUGACAACAGUGAGGUUAGGUUUAGUGAUUAAACAAAAAAUCAAAUUGACAGUUCCUCAAUAGACUUUCAUCAUUUUAUUAUUUAAAUGGACUUUUCUUUCAUUUGGAUAUACAUUUUCUCCUGUAAUACUGCAUCAUUUUGAUACUGCCUGAGACAGAGAGAACAAAACCGAGGAGAGAGAAGACUAAAACUGACUAAUCUGGUUUUACUAGCCAAGCCAAGUGAAACGUAAAAGGUAAUAGCAUAAAUAGUUAAACAAGAAGUGCUAGAUUAUUUACCUUUUUCAUUUGUACUAACUAGUUAGUAACUGGACUUGUUUCCUAAGAAAAUAUUUUUAACCUGCGUAUCAAAUUGAACUUCAACUUUGGCCAGAAAGAGCACCGUGUGUCAGCAUAGCAUUUCUGAAGGGACAUCACAACUAGCAGCUAGACUGACAGUUACACAGACCCAGCAGCUACAGGGUCUCUUCCUAGAAACAACAAGAAACAAAGCCUGGAGUUGACCACAUCUCCCGGGGAGCAAUUACUUCUUAAUAAGCUUCCUGAGCUUGUUUAUGUUCCCUUCUAGCUAAGGUCUUUCUGACCACGGGGUAAUAAUUUGAUAACAAGAAAUCCUGAUUAAAUUAAGAGGCCAUUUGCUAGAGCAUAAUGUCUCAGUAGGUAAGAGAUUUGCUUUGCAGGAGAUGCUCUUGCUGCUCUGAGCUGCAUAUAUGUCUGGUUGUUUAAAAGCCAACCCAAACAACCUUUACCUUUUAAAUAGGAUUAUUAGUAACCAAUUCACUGAGACUAGACUGACAUCUUGACAUUUUUUCUGUCAUUUAAAAAACCAAGCAGUCUCUCUCUCAGAGGCAGAGAUUCUGUGGUGUGGAUAUGUGAAAUACAGUAUGUACAGAACUGGACUGGUGAUAUUGCAGAGAUAAGCCUAUCUUCAUCCAUCACUUUUGAUAACAGGGCCUAACUAGAUCUACAGGCAUCCAUCUGGUCAUGUCCUAUUGAUCUUAAGAGAUUCACCAGUUCCACUCCAGUAUCAUCCUCCUCCUUCUUUAAUGGUCCCUCUGUGAGAACAGGGCUGUUAAGAGCAGAAAAUUAUACAAAAAGCAGAAUAUGCACAAUAAAGUCUCCAAAAACAUGGGAAACUGGUGAAAUAAGAGGAAGCAGAUGAGCCUAAGAUGUGAUGUAGAAAAAAUAAGGAUAUUUACAAAAGCAGUGUUAGAUGACAUAACUGGGAGGCGGGGAGUUUAACGCAUUUUAAAAUAUACAAUAUAUUGUUCACAUCAAAAAUCUCCCUAGGAUUUAUGGCAAUACCAAUGGUUGGAUUGUUCUGUACUGUUGUGCUGUCAGCACAGAGAAAGCAAAGGGUCUAUGUCAGAUAUAAUAAUUGGUCUCUGACCACACCUAGUCCAUUAGUACUGGUGCAGGCUGUAAAUACAACCUCAUUACUCCUGACUCUUCGGAUUAGCAGACCAGAAGGGGAUCAAACUACAGCACCAACCUUUUAGAAGCCAGAAAUUCAAGAGAAAGCUGCAGAACAAAAGCAGAUAGAAACAGAAACUUCAAGAAGUAAAUCCAGUCAUCUAUCCCACGAUCAGGAUACUUUAGUGUGGAGCAGAGUGUGAGACAACCGCAGAAAUCCCAUCUGGCUUGUGGUGCUUGGACGAACCAUGCAGGAGUCCUUCGCUGUCCACUUCCUGAAAGUGCUGAAGGAGCUCCUGGCCUUCGUGCUGUUCAGUUACACGGUGCUGAUUGGAGCACUGCUCCUGGCUGGCUGGACAACUUACUUUUUGGUGCUUAAGUGACAGCUCCCCUCUAUCUUCUCUGGCUACAGACUAGUCCAGAAUGUGCAACAGUCACCACCAAGUACCCUGCAGCUGGCGUCUGCUCAACAAAUAGAAUGUCAGUUCCUUUUGGCUCCACAAACUUUGCAAGUCUUUGUUUUAUUAUUGGCUAAAUACAAUCUUAUUUUCUUAUGUAAAACAAAAAAUGAUUAAAAAACACCUUGCUGACCCCCA